UUAGCAAAAUAUAGCACCUAAACUUGAAAUAGAAAUACAAAUCUAAAAUAUUUCAAAUAUGUAAAAAAACAGCAGUAUAAAAUUUCAUAUUUGAAACCUGAGUUGUAAAAAACAAAUUUAUACCUUACUUUGUCAUCUUAUAUCUGAAUCUUGUAAUAAUUAGUAAAUGCUAUAGAAACUUCUUGAAGAAAUAUUUGUUGUGUCUUAUGUUUGCAAGACGUAAUUAUCAAACAUUAACAAAAGAAUUAUACUCUUUCAUAAGGUCUUGUAAUUAAAGUGUAUUGGCUUUGGCCUUCUUGUUGGAUUUCUUUAGGUGCAGUAAUAAAGUUUCACAAUAUGAAUAAAUGAGUUAAAAUUGUAGGUUGUUAAUUCUCAGAGAAGGGGACAUGUAAAAAGUGAUUGUAUAAAGUUGAAACGAAAAUAAUAAGGAAAUGUAAACAAAAAUAAUGUGAAUUAUGUCAUAGAGUACUGAGAAAUUUGAUUUGAUACAUCAAAGAGAAUGUUUAAGAUUUAAUUUGACUGAAUAUAUCAGAGUAUUGGAGGAGGAGGAGAUGACCCAUACAUUUAGGAGAUUGAAAGACUCAAGAUUACUAUAAGAGUGUAUAUUUGAGUGGUUGCAUAAAGUAAUUUGAAUUGUAUUGAUGGUAUCUAAUUGUAUGAAACAAUACCCAAUAUGCUUUUUUUUUGAUUCAAUAAUUAUUAAUCCUUUCAGAAAAUAUAAGCAGGUACUUUAGUCGACAAAGUGAUUGAUAGG
Molecule: non-coding RNA, 754 nt
Organism: Cinara cedri
Lineage: Eukaryota; Metazoa; Arthropoda; Insecta; Hemiptera; Aphididae
Source: the annotation of a GenBank genome assembly